This 495-nucleotide ribosomal RNA is filed under the name uncultured bacterium. RNAcentral's name for it is "partial 16S ribosomal RNA". It matches the Rfam family "Bacterial small subunit ribosomal RNA", at positions 28 to 505 of the family's 1533-position model. The record is from RNAcentral.
GAUGAACGCUGGCGGCGUGCCUAAUACAUGCAAGUCGAGCGAACAGACGAGGAGCUUGCUCCUCUGACGUUAGCGGCGGACGGGUGAGUAACACGUGGAUAACCUACCUAUAAGACUGGGAUAACUUCGGGAAACCGGAGCUAAUACCGGAUAAUAUAUUGAACCGCAUGGUUCAAUAGUGAAAGACGGUUUUGCUGUCACUUAUAGAUGGAUCCGCGCCGCAUUAGCUAGUUGGUAAGGUAACGGCUUACCAAGGCAACGAUGCGUAGCCGACCUGAGAGGGUGAUCGGCCACACUGGAACUGAGACACGGUCCAGACUCCUACGGGAGGCAGCAGUAGGGAAUCUUCCGCAAUGGGCGAAAGCUUGACGGAGCAACGCCGCGUGAGUGAUGAAGGUCUUCGGAUCGUAAAACUCUGUUAUUAGGGAAGAACAAAUGUGUAAGUAAUUAUGCACGUCUUGACGGUACCUAAUCAGAAAGCCACGGCUAACUACG